This 425-nucleotide ribosomal RNA is filed under the name uncultured bacterium. RNAcentral describes it as "bacterial SSU rRNA". It matches the Rfam family "Bacterial small subunit ribosomal RNA", at positions 57 to 477 of the family's 1533-position model. The record is from RNAcentral.
GCAGUCGAGGGGCAGCAUGGUGUAGCAUACACUGAUGGCGACCGGCAAACGUGUGCGGAACACGUACGCAACUUACCUAAAACUGGGGAAUAGCCCGGGGAAACCCGGAUUAAUACCUCGUAACAUAAUGAAGUGGCAUCACUUUAUUAUUAUAGCUCCGGCGGUUUUGGAUGGGCGUGCGCCUGAUUAGGUAGUUGGCGGGGUAACGGCCCACCAAGCCUACGAUCAGUAACUGGUGUGAGAGCACGACCAGUCACACGGGCACUGAGACACGGGCCCGACUCCUACGGGAGGCAGCAGUAAGGAAUAUUGGUCAAUGGACGCAAGUCUGAACCAGCCAUGCCGCGUGAAGGAUGAAGGUCCUCUGGAUUGUAAACUUCUUUUAUAUGGGAAGAAAUCCAUCUUUUCUUGGGUGGUUGACGGUA